AUAUUGCACAAUGGGGGAAACCCUGAUGCAGCGACGCCGCGUGAGUGAAGAAGUAUUUCGGUAUGUAAAGCUCUCUCAGGAGGGAAGAAAGAAAUGACGGUACCUGACUAAGAAGCCCCGGCUAACUACGUGCCAGCAGCCGCGGUCAUACGUAGGGGGCAAGCGUUAUCCGGAUUUACUGGGCGGAAAGGGAGCGCAGGCGGCACGGCAAGUCUGGUGUGAAAGCCCGGGGCCCAACCCCGGGACUGCAUUGGAAACUGCCGGGCUGGAGUGCCGGAGGGGUAAGCGGAAUUCCUGGUGUAGCGGUGAAAUGCGCAGAUAUCAGGAAGAACACCGGUGGCGGAGGCGGCUUACUGGACGGCAACUGACGCUGAGGCUCGAAAGCGUGGGGAGCAAACAGG
This 401-nucleotide ribosomal RNA is filed under the name uncultured bacterium. Its description in RNAcentral is "bacterial SSU rRNA". It matches the Rfam family "Bacterial small subunit ribosomal RNA", at positions 361 to 776 of the family's 1533-position model. The record is from RNAcentral.